AACGAACGCUGGCGGCAUGCCUAACACAUGCAAGUCGAACGAGACCUUCGGGUCUAGUGGCGCACGGGUGCGUAACGCGUGGGAACCUGCCCUUAGGUUCGGAAUAACUCCCCGAAAGGGGUGCUAAUACCGGAUAAUGUCUUCGGACCAAAGAUUUAUCGCCUUUGGAUGGGCCCGCGUUGGAUUAGCUAGUUGGUAGGGUAAAAGCCUACCAAGGCGACGAUCCAUAGCUGGUCUGAGAGGAUGAUCAGCCACACUGGGACUGAGACACGGCCCAGACCAGUACGGGAGACGGUGGUGAAGCAGAGCGGACAAGGGACGGAACACGGAUCUAGCAGGUGGGCGUGAGAGAUGAAGUCUGUGUGGUUGGAACUCUCUUUGCCCGGGGAUGAAAGGGACAGGACCGGCAAAAUACGCCCGGCCUACCUCCGUGGCAGCAGCCGCGGUACGAGUCGGAAAGCACACGUCUGAAC
RNAcentral lists this ribosomal RNA (473 nucleotides) under uncultured bacterium. Its description in RNAcentral is "partial 16S ribosomal RNA". It matches the Rfam family "Bacterial small subunit ribosomal RNA", at positions 35 to 539 of the family's 1533-position model. The record is from RNAcentral.